Molecule: ribosomal RNA, 412 nt
Filed under: uncultured beta proteobacterium
Lineage: Bacteria; Pseudomonadati; Pseudomonadota; Betaproteobacteria
Description: bacterial SSU rRNA
Rfam family: Bacterial small subunit ribosomal RNA
Source: RNAcentral
GAGUUUGAUCGUGGCUCAGAUUGAACGCUGGCGGAAUGCUUUACACAUGCAAGUCGAGCGGCAGCGCGGGGCAACCUGGCGGCGAGCGGCGAACGGGUGAGUAAUGCAUCGGAACAUGUCCAUGUCGUGGGGGAUAGCCCGGCGAAAGCCGGAUUAAUACCGCAUACGCCCGAGAGGGGAAAGUGGGGGACCGCAAGGCCUCACGCGAUUGGGUUGGCCGAUGUCCGAUUAGCUAGUUGGUGGGGUAAAGGCCUACCAAGGCGAUGAUCGGUAGCUGGUCUGAGAGGAUGAUCAGCCACACUGGGACUGAGACACGGCCCAGACUCCUACGGGAGGCAGCAGUGGGGAAUUUUGGACAAUGGGGGAAACCCUGAUCCAGCCAUUCCGCGUGAGUGAAGAAGGCCUUCGGUUG